AUGCAGCUGGACGAUGCGUGUUGCAGGAUCACAGAUAGUGCAGGCAUUGGUGGUAAUCUGCUUCUACUUUCUGUAUGGAGCUGGGAGCGUCUGCCUGUUGGACGCCCGAAGAGCGUCAGGUUUAAUCCUUGGUAUGAAGAUGAACAUGAUGAAUUACGGCGCCCCACUUGGGCUUACAAGUGGGAUGUAGUUUCCGAGAGCGUCAGGACUGGGACAAGCAUCAUGCUCCGUAUGUUACCCACUUCCAGCUUUCUAUGGAGCAAGCUCGUAGCACUGCACACGCCCCGCUUUGUCCGCAUAACCCACUUGCAUUUAAUAACUACGUAUGAUGGUUUAUUGAAACUACUCGAGUUGAGAUAUGCCCGCCGGCAUAUAAUGAGGAUAUUCUUGAAGAACCCGUAA
This 402-nucleotide ribosomal RNA is filed under the name Triticum aestivum (bread wheat). RNAcentral's name for it is "partial small subunit ribosomal RNA". Lineage: Eukaryota; Viridiplantae; Streptophyta; Magnoliopsida; Poales; Poaceae. The record is from RNAcentral.